Molecule: ribosomal RNA, 253 nt
Filed under: uncultured bacterium
Lineage: Bacteria
Description: partial 16S ribosomal RNA
Rfam family: Bacterial small subunit ribosomal RNA
Source: RNAcentral
UACGUAGGUGGCAAGCGUUGUCCGGAAUUAUUGGGCGUAAAGGGCGCGUAGGCGGUCUUUUAAGUCAGAUGUGAAAUCCCGAGGCUCAACUUCGGGCGUGCAUUUGAAACUGGGAGACUAGAGUGCAGGAGAGGUAAGUGGAAUUCCUAGUGUAGCGGUGAAAUGCGUAGAUAUUAGGAGGAACACCAGUGGCGAAGGCGACUUACUGGACUGUAACUGACACUGAGGCACGAAAGCGUGGGGAGCGAACAGG